GAAGCCGCUUCUCUGCCCGAGUUAGGUUUCGCCCAGCGCAAUUUCUUUCUCUAUGUACUUUGCGAAUAAGUUUCGGAGCAUCGGUUAACAGCCUAUGGGUGAAAUUUGGCUUUCAUUCAUGAAUGAGGAAUCCAGAUCUUACAUAAGAUGGAAGUCUCUCACACUAGAUACUGAACAUUAAAUAGAAAAUCUACUUAGUAAAAUCUAAGUUGCCAUGGAAGAAAUACCAGUAAAAGUUGCUGUAAGAAUUAGACCUCUGCUUUGCAAAGAAGUUCUUCAUAAUCACCAAGUUUGUGUGAGAGUUAUUCCAAACAGCCAGCAAGUUAUCAUUGGGAGAGAUAGAGUCUUCACUUUUGAUUUUGUUUUUGGCAAAAAUUCCACUCAAGAUGAAGUUUAUAACACAUGUAUAAAGCCCCUAGUGUUGUCACUCAUUGAGGGCUAUAAUGCAACUGUUUUUGCCUAUGGACAAACUGGAUCUGGGAAGACAUACACCAUUGGAGGGGGCCAUAUUGGUAAGAUUCUCAUACUCUUUGACUUUUAUUUGUG
RNAcentral lists this long non-coding RNA (546 nucleotides) under Pan troglodytes (chimpanzee). Its description in RNAcentral is "long non-coding RNA NONPTRT017520". Lineage: Eukaryota; Metazoa; Chordata; Mammalia; Primates; Hominidae. The record is from RNAcentral.